GACGAACGCUGGCGGCGCGCCUAACACAUGCAAGUCGAACGAAGCACUUUUACAGAUUUCUUCGGAAUGAAGUGAUAGUGACUGAGUGGCGGACGGGUGAGUAACGCGUGGGUAACCUGCCUCACACAGGGGGAUAACAGUUGGAAACGACUGCUAAUACCGCAUAAGCGCACGGUAUCGCAUGAUACAGUGUGAAAAACUCCGGUGGUAUAAGAUGGACCCCGCGUCUGAUUAGCUUGUUGGUGAGGUAACGGCCCACCAAGGCAACGAUCAGUAGCCGACCUGAGAGGGUGACCGGCCACAUUGGGACUGAGACACGGGCCCAAACUCCUACGGGAGGCAGCAGUGGGGAAUAUUGCACAAUGGGCGAAAGCCUGAUGCAGCGACGCCGCGUGAACGAAGAAGUAUUUCGGUAUGUAAAGUUCUAUCAGCAGGGAGAAGAAAUGACGGUACCUGACUAAGAAGCUCCGGCUAAAUACGUGCCAGCAGCCGACGG
Molecule: ribosomal RNA, 496 nt
Filed under: uncultured bacterium
Lineage: Bacteria
Description: bacterial SSU rRNA
Rfam family: Bacterial small subunit ribosomal RNA
Source: RNAcentral